UACGUAGGGCGCAAGCAUUGUCCGGAAUUAUUGGGCGUAAAGGGCUCGUAGGCGGUUUGUCGCGUCGGGAGUGAAAUCAUCUGGCUUAACUGGGUGCUUGCUUUCGAUACGGGCAGACUAGAGGUAUGCAGGGGAGAACGGAAUUCCUGGUGUAGCGGUGAAAUGCGCAGAUAUCGUCAAGAACACCGAUAGCGAAGGCAGCUUACUGGGCUGUAACUGACGCUGAGGCACGAAAGUGUGGGGAUCAAACAGG
This 253-nucleotide ribosomal RNA is filed under the name uncultured bacterium. Its description in RNAcentral is "partial 16S ribosomal RNA". It matches the Rfam family "Bacterial small subunit ribosomal RNA", at positions 524 to 776 of the family's 1533-position model. The record is from RNAcentral.